CCUACGGGCGGCUGCAGUGGGGAAUAUUGCACAAUGGGCGCAAGCCUGAUGCAGCCAUGCCGCGUGUGUGAAGAAGGCCUUCGGGUUGUAAAGCACUUUCAGCGGGGAGGAAGGCGUUAAGGUUAAUAACCUUGGCGAUUGACGUUACCCGCAGAAGAAGCACCGGCUAACUCCGUGCCAGCAGCCGCGGUAAUACGGAGGGUGCAAGCGUUAAUCGGAAUUACUGGGCGUAAAGCGCACGCAGGCGGUCUGUCAAGUCGGAUGUGAAAUCCCCGGGCUCAACCUGGGAACUGCAUUCGAAACUGGCAGGCUAGAGUCUUGUAGAGGGGGGUAGAAUUCCAGGUGUAGCGGUGAAAUGCGUAGAGAUCUGGAGGAAUACCGGUGGCGAAGGCGGCCCCCUGGACAAAGACUGCCGCUCAGGUGCGAAAGCGUGGGGAGCAAACAGGAUUAGAUACCCGAGUAGUC
Molecule: ribosomal RNA, 465 nt
Filed under: uncultured Klebsiella sp.
Lineage: Bacteria; Pseudomonadati; Pseudomonadota; Gammaproteobacteria; Enterobacterales; Enterobacteriaceae
Description: bacterial SSU rRNA
Rfam family: Bacterial small subunit ribosomal RNA
Source: RNAcentral